This 73-nucleotide transfer RNA is filed under the name Myxococcales bacterium. Its description in RNAcentral is "tRNA-Phe". It matches the Rfam family "tRNA". Rfam says of the family: Transfer RNA (tRNA) molecules are approximately 80 nucleotides in length. Their secondary structure includes four short double-helical elements and three loops (D, anti-codon, and T loops). Further hydrogen bonds mediate the characteristic L-shaped molecular structure. tRNAs have two regions of fundamental functional importance: the anti-codon, which is responsible for specific mRNA codon recognition, and the 3' end, to which the tRNAs corresponding amino acid is attached (by aminoacyl-tRNA synthetases). tRNAs cope with the degeneracy of the genetic code in two manners: having more than one tRNA (with a specific anti-codon) for a particular amino acid; and 'wobble' base-pairing, i.e. permitting non-standard base-pairing at the 3rd anti-codon position. Lineage: Bacteria; Pseudomonadati; Myxococcota; Myxococcia; Myxococcales. The record is from RNAcentral.
GCCCAGGUAGCUCAGUAGGUAGAGCAGCGGAUUGAAAAUCCGCGUGUCGACGGUUCGAUUCCGCCCCUGGGCA